Molecule: small RNA, 750 nt
Filed under: Pan troglodytes (chimpanzee)
Lineage: Eukaryota; Metazoa; Chordata; Mammalia; Primates; Hominidae
Description: processed transcript
Source: RNAcentral
GAGGGAGUGAAUGGAUGACUGCCCAUGCCGCUGUCACUGUAAUAAAGGACUAAGAAGACAAGAUUUAAGAGGAAGAGAUAACCGUAGGACUUACAGAAUUUCCAGAACAAAAAUUGUUUGCUGCCCUGUUGAUUAAAUGUGUUGUGCAGCUGGAACUCAUCCAGACUAUCGACAACAUUGUCUUCUUCCCAGCCACAAGUAAGAAAGAAGAUGCAGAAAACUUAGCUGCAGCACAGAGAGAUGCGGUGGACUUUGAUGUUCGCGUUGAUACUCAAGACCAAGGAAUGUACCGCUUUUUAACAUCACAACAACUUUUUAAGCUACUGGACUGCUUAUUAGAGUCACAUAGAUUUGCAAAAGCGUUUAAUUCCAACAACGAACAGAGGACUGCCCUGUGGAAAGCAGGAUUCAAAGGCAAAUCCAAGCCCAACCUUCUGAAGCAGGAGACCAGCAGCCUGGCCUGUGGGCUGCGCAUUCUCUUCCGGAUGUACAUGGAUGAGAGCCGCAUUAGUGCCUGGGAGGAGGUCCAGCAGAGGCUUUUGAAUGUCUGCAGUGAAGCACUAAGUUACUUCCUCACUCUAACAUCAGAAAGUCAUCGAGAAGCCUGGACUAACUUACUGCUUUUGUUUCUAACUAAAGUUCUAAAGAUAAGUGAUAAUAGGUUUAAAGCUCAUGCAUCAUUCUACUACCCUCUCUUAUGUGAAAUUAUGCAAUUUGACUUGAUUCCUGAACUUCGUGCUGUUCUUAGAA